UAUUAAAAAUUUCAUCAAUUUGUAUUGUUAAAAACCAGUAUAGUUGACGGAAUAACCAGAAAGUGACACGUGUACAGGAACCAUUUUUUAACAAUGGAAAUAGAUAAAAUUUUUAAUA
Molecule: microRNA precursor, 118 nt
Organism: Gossypium arboreum
Lineage: Eukaryota; Viridiplantae; Streptophyta; Magnoliopsida; Malvales; Malvaceae
Rfam family: MIR7502 microRNA precursor family
Source: Rfam